CGGGAAACUGGGGAUAAUACCCGAUGUACCUCGGCUGCUGGAAUGCAUCGAGGCCGAAAGCUCCGGCGCCUAAGGAUGGGUCUGCGGCCUAUCAGGUAGUAGUGGGUGUAGCGUCCCUCCUAGCCUACGACGGGUACGGGUUGUGAGAGCAAGAGCCCGGAGAUGGAUCCUGAGACACGAAUCCAGGCCCUACGGGGUGCAGCAGGCGCGAAAACUUUACAAUGCUGGCAACAGCGAUAAGGGAACCUCGAGUGCCAGGUUACAAAUCUGGCUGUCGUGAUGCCUAAAAAGCAUUGCGUAGCAAGGGCCGGGCAAGACCGGUGCCAGCCGCCGCGGUAAUA
This 341-nucleotide ribosomal RNA is filed under the name uncultured archaeon. RNAcentral describes it as "partial 16S ribosomal RNA". It matches the Rfam family "Archaeal small subunit ribosomal RNA", at positions 133 to 475 of the family's 1478-position model. The record is from RNAcentral.